This 496-nucleotide ribosomal RNA is filed under the name uncultured bacterium. Its description in RNAcentral is "bacterial SSU rRNA". It matches the Rfam family "Bacterial small subunit ribosomal RNA", at positions 28 to 520 of the family's 1533-position model. The record is from RNAcentral.
GACGAACGCUGGCGGCGUGCUUAACACAUGCAAGUCGAGCGGAAAGGCCUCCUUCGGGGGGUACUCGAGCGGCGAACGGGUGAGUAACACGUGAGUGAUCUGCCCUCCACUUCGGGAUAACUGCCUGAAAGGGUGGCUAAUACUGGAUAUUCCUUCAUUGCUGCAUGGUGGUGGGGGGAAAGGGUUUCUGGUGGGGGAUGUGCUCGCGGCCUAUCAGCUUGUUGGUGGGGUAAUGGCCUACCAAGGCUUUGACGGGUAGCCGGCCUGAGAGGGUGACCAGCCACACUGGGACUGAGACACGGCCCAGACUCCUACGGGAGGCAGCAGUGGGGAAUAUUGGACAAUGGGCGGAAGCCUGAUCCAGCAACGCCGCGUGAGGGAUGACGGCCUUCGGGUUGUAAACCUCUUUCAGCACAGACGAAGCUGCCGCUACGUGUGGUGGUGGUGACGGUAUGUGCAGAAGAAGCACCGGCCAACUACGUGCCAGCCGCCGCCG